Long non-coding RNA from Cygnus atratus (black swan), 509 nucleotides. RefSeq lists it as uncharacterized. Lineage: Eukaryota; Metazoa; Chordata; Aves; Anseriformes; Anatidae. The record is from RefSeq and is a predicted model, not a curated record. The transcript has 3 exons.
CGAAUUACCCUGUUUUGGACAUAGUGAGAUCCGUUUGUGUGGUUGCACUGAUAACUCCUUGUUCCUCUUUUUGCAGACCUGUCAGUUUUGGGAAGUUUUGGCUCAUAUUCUAGCCCAGGAGCAUCCUGUUAACAGGAAAAAAGCCUUCCUUGCCUCAACUGGGAAGAUGCUGUAGCUGAUGCUUCAGUCUCUGAAGACCUAGUCCUGGGAAUUUGACCAGUUCUACAGAAGGAUGUAGGCCAAACAAACUUUCACUCUGGAACCACAAACGGCAGAGGAUCAAAACCACCCGAGGAGGAUGGUGCUACCACCCAUUUUCUGUAGUAAAGGGUAAUCAGUAUGGACACUUUGAAAAUAAAAGAAAAUUCACUGCAGUCAGGCUGCUGCAAGAUCUUUGUAUUGCAAUUUGGACAGUUACCUAAAUCCUCUACCAGUUGUAAACAAGAAUAUCUGUAACUAUCCUGAAGACAUUUCAGUAUUAUUAAACCAUAUUUGUUUUAAAUUUUCAU